UAAAAUGUUGACUGUAAGACGAUGGCUGUUUGGAGUCAGUGCUUCCCUUCCCGCUUCGCCUGUGGAUUCUUCGGAGCAGCUGUCUUUCAUAUGCAUGGCACAUUUUGGAAGUCAGAUCAAGUACAGAAACAAAAAGGAGAACAACGUGCCUGGAGAUCAUGAAAAAAAGGUGAAAUAGAGCCAUGGUCAGCAGAGCUCUUGAGCAGAAACUGUUUUCGGACAACAGCCGCCUCUUCUGCUUUUCCUUUUACCCUGCCUGGAUUGCCAGCGCUGCUGUGGCGAAGUGCCAUCAAUACCGAUGACCUUUUAUCUGUUCAUCUAUCGAGGCGGCGAGCACACGGCCACCUGCGGUCACCAUGGAAACGAUGUGAUUUGCUGACUAUAUUCUUUUCCUUGAUGCAUGUUAAAGACUAUUGGCAAGCGGAGGGACACCUGAGCCAAGCCGAUGGAAGCCUCUGCUGUAAAUUGUUGGCACCGCUGUACCAAAGGAUGCUCUGCCCUCUUCCUGGGACCCACGCUGGGGCUGCAGUGGCUGGUGUGGCUGCAGUGGGCAUCAGUGUACUUGUCCCGGACAGCGGUGCCCAGCUCGGGGCAGGAAGGCAGAGCCGCAUCACCAACAGGUGGGCAUCAGCUCGUCAGCGUCCUGGCCUUCACAUGUGCCCAAUUAAGUAAAGCUGCAACCCCCACAAUAAGAAGACCUCACAUGCUGCUUGCCAGGGCCUUUAGAAACACCUCUCUGCCUGCUCUCCUGGAGAAGGUGGAUGCACCGUGUGGACCCAAGAAACAACAGAGCUCAACAGGUACGAACAGGGUUCAAAAAAGCUGGAAUAAGACAAAGGUUUCCACCCUCAGUCAUCACCUAGGACUAACUGGGACCCGGGCUGCCCAUCCCAGCCCAGAGGCUAAGGACAGGAGGAGGC
Long non-coding RNA from Chroicocephalus ridibundus (black-headed gull), 920 nucleotides. RefSeq lists it as uncharacterized. Lineage: Eukaryota; Metazoa; Chordata; Aves; Charadriiformes; Laridae. The record is from RefSeq and is a predicted model, not a curated record. The transcript is spliced from 8 exons.